RNAcentral lists this ribosomal RNA (401 nucleotides) under uncultured bacterium. RNAcentral's name for it is "bacterial SSU rRNA". It matches the Rfam family "Bacterial small subunit ribosomal RNA", at positions 355 to 773 of the family's 1533-position model. The record is from RNAcentral.
UAGGGAAUAUUGGACAAUGGGGGCAACCCUGAUCCAGCAAUGCCGCGUGAGUGAUGAAGGCCUUAGGGUUGUAAAGCUCUUUCGCACGCGACGAUGAUGACGGUAGCGUGAGAAGAAGCCCCGGCUAACUUCGUGCCAGCAGCCGCGGUAAUACGAAGGGGGCGAGCGUUGUUCGGAAUUACUGGGCGUAAAGGGCGCGCAGGCGGCCGAUCAAGUCAGGCGUGAAAGCCCCGGGCUUAACCUGGGAAUUGCGCUUGGGACUGAUGGGCUUGAGUUCGGGAGAGGAGAGUGGAAUUCCCAGUGUAGAGGUGAAAUUCGUAGAUAUUGGGAAGAACACCGGUGGCGAAGGCGGCUCUCUGGACCGAUACUGACGCUGAGGCGCGAAAGCGUGGGGAGCAAAC